RNAcentral lists this ribosomal RNA (657 nucleotides) under Triticum aestivum (bread wheat). Its description in RNAcentral is "partial small subunit ribosomal RNA". Lineage: Eukaryota; Viridiplantae; Streptophyta; Magnoliopsida; Poales; Poaceae. The record is from RNAcentral.
AUGGUGAAGCUGACAAUGAUAGCCCGUAUCACUGAUGGCCUUCCAUUGGCGGAGGGGUUAGAUGAUGGUCGAGAUCUGAAGGAUGCUGACUUCUACAAGCAGCAAGCAAAACUGUUGUUCAAAAACUUAUCUAAAGGCCAACACGAAUCAUCAAGGCUGUCAAUCGAGACUGGACCGUACUAUUUCCAUUACAUCAUUGAGAGCCGUGUAUGCUAUUUGACAAUGUGUGACCGUUCUUAUCCAAAGAAACUUGCAUUCCAGUAUUUAGAAGAUCUAAAAAAUGAAUUCGAGAGGGUCAAUGGUAGCCAAAUUGAAACUGCUGCAAGGCCAUAUGCUUUCAUCAAAUUUGAUACAUUCAUACAGAAAACCAGGAGACUGUAUUUGGAUACCAGAACCCAAAGGAACCUUGCCAAGUUGAAUGAUGAGCUCUACGAGGUGCACCAGAUUAUGACUCGCAAUGUUCAAGAAGUUCUUGGUGUGGGUGAAAAACUAGAUCAGGUUAGUCAAUUGUCUAGUAGGUUGACCUCUGAUACGAGAAUGUAUGCAGACAAGGCAAAGGAUCUCAAUCGCCAGGCCUUAAUUCGGAAGUAUGCCCCUGUGGCCAUUGUGAUGGGGAUAGUACUGAUGCUCUUUUGGAUCAAGAACAAGAUAUGGUGA